Molecule: ribosomal RNA, 252 nt
Filed under: uncultured bacterium
Lineage: Bacteria
Description: partial 16S ribosomal RNA
Rfam family: Bacterial small subunit ribosomal RNA
Source: RNAcentral
UACGAAGGGGGCUAGCGUUGUUCGGAAUAACUGGGCGUAAAGCGCACGUAGGCGGAUCUGUAAGUCAGGGGUGAAUCCCGGGGCUCAACCUCGGAACUGUCUUUGAUACUGCAAGUCUAGAGUCCGGAAGAGGUGAGUGGAAUUCCUAGUGUAGAGGUGAAAUGCGUGGAUAUUAGGAAGAACACCAGUGGCGAAGGCGGCUCACUGGUCCGGAACUGACGCUGAGGUGCGAAAGCGUGGGGACCAAACAGG